GACAACGCUGGCGGCGUGCCUAACACAUGCAAGUCGAACGGAGAUUAUAGCAAUGUAAUCUUAGUGGCGGACGGGUGAGUAACGCGUGGGCAACCUACCUCUAACCGGGGGAUAACACAGGGAAACUUGUGCUAAUACCGCAUAAGAUCAUAGGAGGACAUCCUCUAGUGAUCAAAGGAGAAAUCCAGUGAGAGAUGGGCCCGCGUCCGAUUAGCUAGUUGGCGGUGUAACGGACCACCAAGGCGACGAUCGGUAGCCGAACUGAGAGGUUGAUCGGCCACAUUGGGACUGAGACACGGCCCAGACUCCUACGGGAGGCAGCAGUGGGGAAUAUUGCGCAAUGGGGGAAACCCUGACGCAGCAACGCCGCGUGAAGGAUGAAGGUUUUCGGAUUGUAAACUUCUUUGAUGAGGGACGAAAGAAAUGACGGUACCUCAAAAACAAGCCACGGCUAACUACGUG
This 462-nucleotide ribosomal RNA is filed under the name uncultured bacterium. RNAcentral describes it as "bacterial SSU rRNA". It matches the Rfam family "Bacterial small subunit ribosomal RNA", at positions 32 to 507 of the family's 1533-position model. The record is from RNAcentral.